GGAGAAGCGAGAGAGACUCUGCAGAACUUGUGUAUAUUCUUUGUGGAGCCGACAAUCCAAAAACUUGGAUAAUUAUGCGUAAUUUCAGGUUUGAUACUGGUUUUAUAACAUACGGAUUUUGAUAUUUCUUACUGGGGUGGUGCCAGAAAUUUUAGGGGGGUGAGCCGUGAGCAGGUGACUGAAGCAACACAAAGUGUCACCAAAUCCCAGUAAGGUCUAUAUCCAGGGGUGGAGCACUAGAGCUGCAAGGGGGAGUCUAGAAAGCAGAAAACAAAGUAUCCCAG
Paramuricea clavata is the source of this 284-nucleotide non-coding RNA. The record is from the annotation of a GenBank genome assembly. NCBI's taxonomy places the organism in Eukaryota, Metazoa, Cnidaria, Anthozoa, Malacalcyonacea, Plexauridae.